CCUACGGGAGGCAGCAGUGGGGCAUAUUGCACAAUGGGCGAAAGCCUGAUGCAGCAACGCCGCGUGAAGGCAGACGGUUUUCGGAUUGUAAACUUCUGUUCUUAGUGAAGAAUAAUGACGGUAACUAAGGAGCAAGCCACGGCUAAAUACGUGCCAGCAGCCGCGGGAAUACGGCGGUGGCACGCGUUGUCCGGGAUUACUGGGUGUAAAGGGAGCGUUGGCGGGAAGCCAAGUCAGCUGUGAAACCUACGGGCUUAACCUGUAGACUGCAGUUGAACCUGGCUUGCUUGAGUGAAGUAGAGGUAGGCGGAAUUCCGGGUGUAGCGGUGAAAUGCGUAGAUAUUCGGAGGAACACCGGUGGCGAAGGCGGCCAACUGGGCUUUAACUGACGCUGAGGCUCGAAAGUGUGGGGAGCAAACAGGAUUAGAUACCCCGGUAGUC
This 441-nucleotide ribosomal RNA is filed under the name uncultured bacterium. RNAcentral's name for it is "partial 16S ribosomal RNA". It matches the Rfam family "Bacterial small subunit ribosomal RNA", at positions 338 to 795 of the family's 1533-position model. The record is from RNAcentral.